RNAcentral lists this small RNA (2267 nucleotides) under Pongo abelii (Sumatran orangutan). RNAcentral describes it as "retained intron". Lineage: Eukaryota; Metazoa; Chordata; Mammalia; Primates; Hominidae. The record is from RNAcentral.
GCCCGCGACCUCAAGGCGGCUGCCCCGCGCCAUGGCGGCCCGGCUGGGUGCGCUGGCCGCGUCGGGGCUGUACCGGCGGCGCCAGCACCGGCAGAGCCCGCCGCCCGCCGCGGGCAAUAUGUCGGACGCCUUGGCCAAUGCCGUGUGCCAGCGCUGCCAGGCCCGCUUCGCCCCCGCCGAGCGCAUUGUCAACAGCAAUGGGGAGCUGUACCAUGAGCAGUGCUUCGUGUGUGCCCAGUGCUUCCGGCCCUUCCCCGAGGGGCUCUUCUAUGAGUUUGAAGGCCGGAAGUACUGCGAACACGACUUCCAAAUGCUGUUUGCUCCGUGCUGCGGAUCCUGCGGUAAGGCCGGUGGUGACAGUGCACAUCCUGGGCUGCCUGGGAAGUGGGCAGCAGUGGCGGGGGGCAGGGGACCGAGGGGGCACACAGAACUGGCCCAGCUCUUUCCUAACUGCCCACCUUGCCUCUCUGAGCGGCAACCCUCAGGCCCCCUACAGGCAUCACCAUCCCAUGAGGGAGCCCAUGGGCCAGGUAGAGAGCAGGUGGAGUGCUAGGUGGACGGGGCUUUGGAGGGUACAAAGAGGGGAUGGGCACGCGCCCUCUGGCCAGCAGGGACCUGUCCUCUUCCAGGUGAGUUCAUCAUCGGCCGUGUCAUCAAGGCCAUGAACAACAACUGGCACCCGGGCUGCUUCCGCUGCGAGCUGUGUGAUGUGGAGCUGGCUGACCUGGGCUUUGUGAAGAAUGCUGGCAGGCAUCUCUGCCGGCCUUGCCACAACCGUGAGAAGGCCAAGGGCCUGGGCAAGUACAUCUGCCAGCGGUGCCACCUGGUCAUCGAUGAGCAGCCCCUCAUGUUCAGGAGCGACGCUUACCACCCUGAUCACUUCAGCUGCACCCACUGUGGGAAGGAGCUGACGGCCGAGGCCCGCGAGCUGAAGGGUGAGCUCUACUGCCUGCCCUGCCAUGACAAGAUGGGCGUCCCCAUCUGUGGGGCCUGCCGCCGGCCCAUUGAAGGCCGAGUGGUCAACGCGCUGGGCAAGCAGUGGCAUGUGGAGCACUUUGUCUGCGCCAAGUGUGAGAAGCCAUUCCUGGGGCACCGGCACUAUGAGAAGAAGGGCCUGGCCUACUGUGAGACUCACUACAACCAGCUCUUCGGGGACGUCUGCUACAACUGCAGCCAUGUGAUUGAAGGCGAUGUGGUUUCGGCCCUCAACAAGGCCUGGUGUGUGAGCUGCUUCUCCUGCUCCACCUGCAACAGCAAGCUCACCCUGAAGAACAAGUUUGUGGAGUUCGACAUGAAGCCCGUGUGUAAGAGGUGCUACGAGAAGUUCCCGCUGGAGCUGAAGAAGCGGCUGAAGAAGCUGUCAGAGCUGACCUCCCGCAAGGCCCAGCCCAAGGCCGCGGACCUCAACUCUGCCUGAAGGCCCUCUUGCGCAGCCGCCUCUCGGCCCCUCCGCCUUCUCCCCUCCCGCUGUCCAUGCUUGGCCCCCUCGUCCCCGUCCACCUGCGCCCUCUGCAUCUUACGCUCCCCUUCUCUUUCUUCAUUGCCUCCCCCUUUCCUGUUCCCUCAUCUCUGCCUUCCCCCUGUCUCUCCUCUCCUCGGCUGUGGUUUCUGUCUGUGAGGAGGCAGGAGCUGGGGAGUGGGAGCCUAUGACCCCACGUCUGACAGCCACGUCCACCUGUGCCCACAGUUUCUGCCAACAGACCUCCAGGGACAGAAGCAAAUUGCACCACAGCUCCCUGCCUGGCCUGGCCCUCCCCAGGCAGCUCAGUGGCUCAUGCUGUCCUGUGAGAGCCCCUGCCCCAGAGCGGCCCCACUAAGCGCAUGUGGCUCCUGGACUACCUACAGCCAGGGCAGCCUGCUGGAGCCACAGGGCCAGGACCAUGCAGAUGGAGGCCUCUGGGAGCCACCUCCAGUCCCUCACCACUCACUCAACCAGGGGCACAGUGUCCCUGUUCCCACACUGAGCCAGCAAGUCCUGCUGUCCACACCCACAAGCUACCUGGAGGGACAGGACCCACCUCCAUCCCUCGGAAGGUCUUCCUGGAACCCCACCUUGGCCUCCCACCUGGGUUCCGCCCCGCCCCCUCCCCCCGACCUUGGGGCUUGUGUUGAGCCCUUGGGUGGGGCCAGGGGCCAGGAGGUGGUGAGGUCAGAGGAGGUGGGGUCAGAGGUGGCUUUUUCCCACCUCCAGGGAGGACGCUUCCUCUGCGGCCAGCGCAGACCUGGUGUUGGGCUCACGCUUGCACAAUGAAGGCUUCUUCACACAA